UGGUGGGAUACUACCCUGGCUGUAUGACCAUUCUAACCCGCCACGCUUAGCGCGUGGGGAGACAGUGUCAGGUGGGCAGUUUGACUGGGGCGGUCGCCUCCUAAAGAGGAACGGAGGCGCCCAAAGGUUCCCUCAGAAUGGAUGGAAAUCAUUCGCAGAGGGUAAAGGCACAAGGGAGCUUUACUGCGAGACUGACAAGUCGAGCAGGGACGAAAGUCGGGCUUAGUGAUCCGGUG
This 236-nucleotide ribosomal RNA is filed under the name Listeria monocytogenes. Its description in RNAcentral is "partial 23S ribosomal RNA". It matches the Rfam family "Bacterial large subunit ribosomal RNA", at positions 2190 to 2425 of the family's 2925-position model. The record is from RNAcentral. Lineage: Bacteria; Bacillati; Bacillota; Bacilli; Caryophanales; Listeriaceae.